Molecule: long non-coding RNA, 1316 nt
Filed under: Sorghum bicolor (sorghum)
Lineage: Eukaryota; Viridiplantae; Streptophyta; Magnoliopsida; Poales; Poaceae
Description: long non-coding RNA (SBIC_LNC015894)
Source: RNAcentral
UUCCCACAAAAGCAAAAGAAGAGACGGAGUGACCAUCGCCCUUGGUCUAGUCAUCACCCAUAGCUGGGUACAGACAGAGGAUGCAAUAACCAUAGUACAUUUGACCAUCUGCAAAACAACAUGGGAAUAGAACCCUGAGUACGAGAAGGUACUCAGCUAGACUUACCCGUCAUAAACUUAAAAGAAAGACUCAUCAAGGAUCAUGAAGGCUAUUUAGUGGGGUAGCUGACAACCAUUUUGCAAAGACCGCAAGAUUUUAUUACCCAAGCCUACAUAAAUCCUUUCUUCUUUUAAUCUGCUCAAGUUGACAGUAUCAUUAUCUAUUACCUAGAUUUGCUCCUGUGCUAUUACAAGCAAAUAUGAGACUAUGAUAGUACCUUAUUACAGCAGUCAUAAACCCGUUUCAUUAUAACCCAAGUGUUCCAUAGUCCUUACUACGAGGACAGGGCUCAUGUCAAGUGCUCACUAUCCAGGAGCGAUGGCGAUUCGAAUCGAUUUCUAACCAGCUGGCGAGUUUAUUCCCCACACAAACCACACUCACUGAUCAAGUGAGCUACAGAUCACCGUAUUGCACUAUCCAGGACCAAUUCGCGGGUUCGACAGGCACCGCCCGUACCCGAGGACCGUUCCGGCGACCGAGGUAUCCAAGGUAUACCAAGGUUGCGCGCCGCGCCCUCGUCGUUCUCCUCAACCAUCACCAAUACAGCGCGUACAUCGGGCCGAUUCCCGGCCCGGAUAGUGCUCAGGCUUCGCGGUCGGAACGACUUAUCCUUCCAGCUAAAUGUGGGGCAUGCGUUCAACAUGACAAGAGGGCCGUCAACGAUCGGUCCUUAAUCGACACAGGCAGGGGCACUAUGGGCAACCCACCAUAAGACCCUGCCCGGUCUCCAAUUACUUUCCACACUUGGUUAUUUCUUUCCCCAGCAACCACUGCUUAAUCAAGCAGGUAUCCACCUACAUCUCGCAGGUGACAGGACAUCACCCGACUUCUACCGGACUAAGCAGGCUAAGCAUAGACUCCGCGCCUAUCUACAUAGGACAAGGUAGAUAACGAGUAGGGAUAACAAGGAAUACAUAUGCAGCAACGGUACCAGACAACUCCUAUCACGUAAUAUGCAAUAUAGUAGAAUAAGUAUAGCACUUUAUAUAAGUCAGUGAGAAUAGGGAGACUUAGAAUGCUCCGGGGCUUGCCUUUCUCAAACGUGCUGGGUCGAUGAUCCGGGCACUCUUGCAGUUCCUCUCCGGACUCUUGUGCUUCCGGAGGUUCCUGCUCCUGAAGCUCCUCGGGUUCCUCGGGUCCCACUCUGUUCUCCUGC